RNAcentral lists this ribosomal RNA (383 nucleotides) under uncultured eukaryote. RNAcentral's name for it is "partial 18S ribosomal RNA". It matches the Rfam family "Eukaryotic small subunit ribosomal RNA", at positions 592 to 976 of the family's 1831-position model. The record is from RNAcentral.
CAAUAGCGUAUAUUAAAGUUGUUGCAGUUAAAAAGCUCGUAGUUGGAUUUCUGGUGGGAGCGAUCGGUCUGGCGCUUAGCGCGAGUACUUGCAUCGUCUCCGGCCAUCCUUGGGGAGAGUCUGUCUGGCAUUAGGUUGUCGGGCAGAGGAUCCUCAUCGUUUACUGUGAAAAAAUUAGAGCGUUCAAAGCAGGCUUAUGCCGUUGAAUAUGUUAGCAUGGAAUAAUAAGAUAGGACUUUGGUACUAUUUUGUUGGUUUGCGCACCAAAGUAAUGAUUAAUAGGGACAGUUGGGGGUAUUCGUAUUCCGUUGUCAGAGGUGAAAUUCUUGGAUUUACGGAAGACGAACUACUGCGAAAGCAUUUACCAAGGAUGUUUUCAUUAA